UACGGAGGAUGCAAGCGUUAUCCGGAAUGAUUGGGCGUAAAGCGUCUGUAGGUGGCACUUCAAGUCUGCUGUUAAAUACUAGGGCUCAACCCUGGAGCGGCAGUGGAAACUAAAGAGCUAGAGUUCGGUAGGGGUAGAGGGAAUUCCCGGUGUAGCGGUGAAAUGCGUAGAGAUCGGGAGGAACACCAGUGGCGAAAGCGCUCUGCUAGGCCGAAACUGACACUCAUGGACGAAAGCUAGGGGAGCGAAUGGG
Molecule: ribosomal RNA, 253 nt
Filed under: uncultured bacterium
Lineage: Bacteria
Description: partial 16S ribosomal RNA
Rfam family: Bacterial small subunit ribosomal RNA
Source: RNAcentral